GACGAACGCUGGCGGCGUGCUUAACACAUGCAAGUCGAAUGGAAAGGCCCUGCUUGCAGGGUACUCGAGUGGCGAACGGGUGAGUAACACGUGGGUGAUCUGCCCUGCACUUCGGGAUAAGCUUGGGAAACUGGGUCUAAUACCGGAUAGGAACCAUCUUUAGUGUGGUGGUUGGAAAGUUUUUUCGGUGUAGGAUGAGCUCGCGGCCUAUCAGCUUGUUGGUGGGGUAAUGGCCUACCAAGGCGGCGACGGGUAGCCGGCCUGAGAGGGUGUACGGCCACAUUGGGACUGAGAUACGGCCCAGACUCCUACGGGAGGCAGCAGUGGGGAAUAUUGCACAAUGGGCGCAAGCCUGAUGCAGCGACGCCGCGUGGGGGAUGAAGGCCUUCGGGUUGUAAACUCCUUUCGCUAGGGACGAAGCUUUGUUGUGACGGUACCUAGAUAAGAAGCACCGGCUAACUACGUG
RNAcentral lists this ribosomal RNA (466 nucleotides) under uncultured bacterium. RNAcentral describes it as "partial 16S ribosomal RNA". It matches the Rfam family "Bacterial small subunit ribosomal RNA", at positions 28 to 507 of the family's 1533-position model. The record is from RNAcentral.